This 1498-nucleotide ribosomal RNA is filed under the name Bacillus sp. (in: firmicutes). RNAcentral describes it as "bacterial SSU rRNA". It matches the Rfam family "Bacterial small subunit ribosomal RNA". Lineage: Bacteria; Bacillati; Bacillota; Bacilli; Caryophanales; Bacillaceae. The record is from RNAcentral.
GAAGGGGGCGGGGGUGCUAUACAUGCAGUCGAGCGGACAGAUGGGAGCUUGCUCCCUGAUGUUAGCGGCGGACGGGUGAGUAACACGUGGGUAACCUGCCUGUAAGACUGGGAUAACUCCGGGAAACCGGGGCUAAUACCGGAUGGUUGUUUGAACCGCAUGGUUCAGACAUAAAAGGUGGCUUCGGCUACCACUUACAGAUGGACCCGCGGCGCAUUAGCUAGUUGGUGAGGUAACGGCUCACCAAGGCGACGAUGCKUAGCCGACCUGAGGAGGGGUGAUCGGCCACACUGGGASUGAGACACGKCCCAGAYUCYUACGGGAGGCAGCAGUAGGGAAUCUUCCGCMAUGGACGAAAGUCUGACGGAGCAACGCCGCGCUGAGUGAUGAAGGUUUUCGGAUCGUAAAGCUCUGUUGUUAGGGAAGAACAAGUGCCGUUCAAAUAGGGCGGCACCUUGACGGUACCUAACCAGAAAGCCACGGCUAACUACGUGCCAGCAGCCGCGGUAAUACGUAGGUGGCAAGCGUUGUCSGGAAUUAUUGGGCGUAAAGGGCUCGCAGGCGGUUUCUUAAGUCUGAUGUGAAAGCCCCCGGCUCAACCGGGGAGGGUCAUUGGAAACUGGGGAACUUGAGUGCAGAAGAGGAGAGUGGAAUUCCACGUGUAGCGGUGAAAUGCGUAGAGAUGUGGAGGAACACCAGUGGCGAAGGCGACUCUCUGGUCUGUAACUGACGCUGAGGAGCGAAAGCGUGGGGAGCGAACAGGAUUAGAUACCCUGGUAGUCCACGCCGUAAACGAUGAGUGCUAAGUGUUAGGGGGUUUCCGCCCCUUAGUGCUGCAGCUAACGCAUUAAGCACUCCGCCUGGGGAGUACGGUCGCAAGACUGAAACUCAAAGGAAUUGACGGGGGGCCCGCACAAGCGGUGGAGCAUGUGGUUUAAUUCGAAGCAACGCGAAGAACCUUACCAGGUCUUGACAUCCUCUGACAAUCCUAGAGAUAGGACGUCCSCUUCGGGGGCAGAGUGACAGGUGGUGCAUGGGUUGUCGUCAGCUCGUGUCGUGAGAUGUUGGGUUAAGUCCCGCAACGAGCGCAACCCUUGAUCUUAGUKGCCAGCAUUCAGUUGGGCACUCUAAGGUGACUGCCGGUGACAAACCGGAGGAAGGUGGGGAUGACGUCAAAUCAUCAUGCCCCUUAUGACCUGGGCUAACMCCACGUGCUACAAUGGGSMGAACAAAGGGCAGCGAAACCGCGAGGUUAAGCCAAUCCCACAAAUCUGUUCUCAGUUCGGAUCGCAGUCUGCAACUCGACUGCGUGAAGCUGGAAUCGCUAGUAAUCGCGGAUCAGCAUGCCGCGGUGAAUACGUUCCCGGGCCUUGUACACACCGCCCGUCACACCACGAGAGUUUGUAACACCCGAAGUCGGUGAGGUAACCUUUAUGGAGCCAGCCGCCGAAGGUGGGACAGAUGAUUGGGGUGAAGUCGUAACAAGGUGGCGCAAGGG